UCUUCGAUGGUCUAGUGGUCAUGAUUUCCGCUUGUCAAGCCCUAUCCUAGGACUAACAAGCGCGGGAGACCGGGGUUCGAUUCCCCGUCGGAGAG
Molecule: non-coding RNA, 95 nt
Organism: Lophiostoma macrostomum CBS 122681
Lineage: Eukaryota; Fungi; Ascomycota; Dothideomycetes; Pleosporales; Lophiostomataceae
Source: the annotation of a GenBank genome assembly